RNAcentral lists this long non-coding RNA (2672 nucleotides) under Equus caballus (horse). RNAcentral describes it as "lncRNA (ENSECAG00000042505.2)". The record is from RNAcentral. Lineage: Eukaryota; Metazoa; Chordata; Mammalia; Perissodactyla; Equidae.
AUGGGAUCAUCUUGUCCCCCUCUGCCAUUUCCUAGGUAGAAACUGAGGCUUGGAGAGAGGAAGGGACCCCAACAAGUCAACAGUGGCUGGACCACAUGCGUCAGGGCCUCCUGGCAGGGCUGGGGCGCAUCCUCGGGAUGAUGCAACAGGCCCCACCAAGCAGCUUGACACACGGUCCGUCCGUCUGUGGCCAAGUGGAGUCACCAGACUUCCACUCCUGGACUCUGUUAUAGAAAUAUUACUGUCUCACAGUUUUCACAGGCUGUGGGUGUUUAUAACUCGUCUGAUCUUCACAACAACUCUGGUGAGCAGGCCUGAGUACGGAUUAUCAUCGGCAUUUUACAGAUGGGAAAACUCAGGCUCAGAAAGGACGGUGGAGAAAUAGAGCUGCUCCAGCCAGGCUGGGAUUAGAAGUCAGGACGCUUGACUCCAGCCCGGGUCCUCGGGACCUUUGCUGGUCCAUACAGAGCAGUUAUGUUACUCAGGAAAAUGUGCCGCCCCCUUGGGUUCACGGCUUGGUGACAGACAAGAGGACUUCAGCUACUACACAGUGCCUGAUGGGGAAUAAGCCGAAGAUACUGUGCAGGACUUGACUUCCUCUGCCAGACCCAGCAGGCUGGCCAGUACUUGCUCAGCCGAGCUCUCUUCUGACGGCUGCACAUCGCUGUUGCCCUGCUGGACACAUAUUUGUGGUGGUCGUAUUUUUCCUCCUUAAUUUAUAGUCCAAGUUUUGAAGAUGAAGAAUGUCUUCCAGCCUCUGCACCCCCUCCUCAUCCAUGCUGGGAAAAUGGGAGAAGACAGUGGACUCUGGACUCUCUCCCUGCCCCUCAGAAAAAAUCUGACAUUCCUCUCACAUUAUUGGGUAAGUUGUUAUCUACAGCCAGUCCGUGUUCACGUCCUAAGUAGGGUGGAGGGGAGAAGAUUGCUUUCUUUAAUCCAAAAGGCCCACGAUGGCAUUUUUCUCACCCAAAGAGCUGCCCACCGUCUUGGCUACGCUGUCCUUUCCAUCUGUUCUCUCUUUAGCUACAUCAAGAAAUUUCAGAGGCUUUGCAGUGAGGGGAGUCCCUUAGCACUGCAGCAGGCUCACAUGGUGCCCUCCCCAACAGUCCCGAUGGUGCAAGGCCCACAGCCAGUGGCAUCCCCGUUGGUCAUGGGUCUGUGGCUUCUUCUUUCUAUACCAGCACAAUGUGAACGAUUCCACAGGGUGUACCUGCUGCUGCUGACAGAGUCAGGGCUGGAAUUUGGCUGGCAUACGUCGGAGCCACCGUGCUGGUUCUUUAUAGGCGCCGCCUCUUCCUAGGAAUCCAUAGACCAUGAUCAGAGCCACAGGGAGACUUCACACAGCCUGCUAGCUUCCUAAAUCCAUUCUCCCAGCUCCUCUGUUCUUCCACUACUUAAUCCCUCCUUCCCACGUCUGUCCUUGAUCUUGGCAUGAAGCCCCCAGCUGCCAGGUUCCGGGGAUGCCCUAUGGAACAACCAGAGCAGUCCAGCAUGGACCCCUGCACAGCCCAGGGGGGGCACCACCUCAUGGGAGCCAAGCUGGGCCCAGGGAGACGAGACUUCUUCCUCUUCCUCGAGAUGCCCUCAGACAAGAAACUCACUACCACCCAAGGCCCCUUCUGAUCAUUAAUGCAGUGGAUUAUGAAUUACAGUGUCACCAAAAGAGAUGAACAAAAAUUCAACUUAAAGUUGAUUUUGAGCUGCUAUUCUUGCCAGGUAAUAGAAAACACAGUUAGUCAUUUCCGGACAAGCUGAGUCCCUGUAGGAUAUGUGCCAUCUCUCUGGGGUGAACAGUCAGAAGAGGACCCUGCCUGCCUCCUCUCUCACCAGGCGACGUCUGAGUUCCGGGGUCUCAGGGCGUUGAUGGGGAGGAGACGUCUGCUUCCUGUCCCCAUCGGUCCUCUGAUGACACACCCUGGAUGUAAGGUUCUCCUCCAGGAUUUGGUCUUUGCAUGUUGGGGUCUCAAGGAAACAGCGGCUGUGCAGGCCUCUCCAAGGUGUGAGAGGCUACCCCCCAGCUCCCCGGCGCCACCUGCCAUUCUUUUGGCUGCUACAAGAAAAGGAAUAAGGGAUGGAUGGUUUGACUUGCAGCACAUGCUGCCUAUUAUUUUUGGUUGUUCUACAUUUUAACCCCGAUGGUAUUCCAGGCAACUGAAAGGAAGUUGCUGGAGAAGAAGACUUUACCUCAAUAUAUAGAAGCUGCCCUUGACAUGUUGCAGGAAUAUGGGUUUUGGAGAAGACAGACGUGGGUUCGUAAAUAAGAGUGUGAACUUCCUGACACACAGGAAUUAAAACGUGAUCAGAAAACAUUCUUCACUAGGAUGAGGAAUUGAGAAGUCAGGGAGGAGAGCUACAUUUCAUUGAGGGCCCCUAUUUUUCUCUUUAGAAAUGUUCAUUGCUUUUUUAAUUGUGAAAGUCACACAAAUUCGUUAUGGGAAAUUUUUGAAAUGUAAAAAUGGUGUAAACAAAAACAUUAAAAGUCACCCAUAAUCUCACCAGAAACGACCGUUGUAAAUAUUUUGACAUGUUUUCUUCUGGCCUUUUGUCUCUGUGUGUGGGUGUGUGUAGAUUUACAUAAUUCUGCUAAUUCUUUUACACACACUUUGCAUCCUCUUUUUGUUGUGUUUUUUUUGUUUGUUUUCUUACAUCUACUGUUAUACCAUGAGUUUUUU